Medicago truncatula (barrel medic) is the source of this 319-nucleotide long non-coding RNA. RefSeq lists it as uncharacterized. The record is from RefSeq and is a predicted model, not a curated record. NCBI's taxonomy places the organism in Eukaryota, Viridiplantae, Streptophyta, Magnoliopsida, Fabales, Fabaceae. The transcript has 2 exons.
GAACAGAAACUGCUUGAUGAAGACAACAGCAACAACAACAACAACGUUGACACUUCCAAAACUGGAACUGUAACUUCCAUAUGUCAUGACCUUCUAUUACUUCUCUCUUGCUGUUACUGUUGUUUCUGCUGUGGCGGAAAUGCGGCCGGUGUGGUCCAAAUUGCAGUUGUGAGGCUAUUGUAGAGCCUCAAAAUUAUUUAUAUUUCAGCUGCAAUUGUGGUAUAGGACUGCAAUUUAAAAUCAUGAACGAAAAGUGUUCCACGUUUCUGGUAUAGUUGUUCUCGCCAUAAGGAAAUUGAUAGUAUCAUUUCUGUUAUGA